Molecule: long non-coding RNA, 780 nt
Organism: Setaria italica (foxtail millet)
Lineage: Eukaryota; Viridiplantae; Streptophyta; Magnoliopsida; Poales; Poaceae
Exons: 3
Source: RefSeq, a predicted model, not a curated record
CCCACGACGCCAACGCCACAACCCUUGCGCCGCCGCCUCGCCGCCCGUCGCGCUGCCGCCUCGCCGCCCGUCGCGCUGCCGCCUGCGGUCGUGCCCGUCGAUCUCCCCGCCUACAGCCAGUCCUGUUCCUGCGGCGCUGCUGUUCUCCCGGCAACCUCUCGUCGCUCCCCCUGCGCUGAGGAGCGCCGGUCCCCGGCUCCUCCUCGCCAGCGUCGCCGCCCAUCGCGACAUCGUCGACACCGUUAUAAGGAGAACUCAUGUCCAGGGCACGUAAUGCUUUAGUUGCCACUGGCUUGCUGAUCUUUGCUGGUGCUGGCUUAUCAUUUCCAUUCCUUUUCGUGAAAUCAAAGAACAGGCCUAUCAUUGAUUCAACAAAACCCCUGCCACCACAGGCUACAUUCCGAGGGCCAUAUGUGAAUACUGGAUCACGCGAUAUCGGACCUGAUCCCACCAACUAUCCAAAGAAGUGAUGUAUUCUUUCCUGAUAAUUGAGACACCAUUCCUCCUCUCUUUGGGCAGACCACAAAAGUGUACAACUCUGAAAUAGUGCCGCAUAAAGAAUUACCUGGUAUUCUGUGCGUCUUUAUCAUGGUUGGGCCUUUGGACAUCUAAUUUUGCAUUUACCUUGACAAUGAAUUUUUUUCAGUAUCUCCUAUAUAAAGAAGGAUGGAUAUUGAAUACUUUUUAUAGUGUAUUCAGAUAAUAAAAAGUAAACAACUUAGUGAAAGCAGAACUCUGUAAAUAAUAUAAAUAAAAAAAACCCUGUGGGAGAUUGUCUUA